AGUAAAAUAAGCUAAUUUUAAGCUAUUGGGCUCAUACCCCAAAAAUGAGGAAACCUCUUUUACUA
RNAcentral lists this transfer RNA (65 nucleotides) under Acanthochitona mahensis. Its description in RNAcentral is "tRNA-Met". Lineage: Eukaryota; Metazoa; Mollusca; Polyplacophora; Chitonida; Acanthochitonidae. The record is from RNAcentral.